UCGAGCGGUGAGAGAAGCUUGCUUCUCUUGAGAGCGGCGGACGGGUGAGUAAUGCCUAGGAAUCUGCCUGGUAGUGGGGGAUAACGUUCGGAAACGGACGCUAAUACCGCAUACGUCCUACGGGAGAAAGCAGGGGACCUUCGGGCCUUGCGCUAUCAGAUGAGCCUAGGUCGGAUUAGCUAGUUGGUGGGGUAAUGGCUCACCAAGGCGACGAUCCGUAACUGGUCUGAGAGGAUGAUCAGUCACACUGGAACUGAGACACGGUCCAGACUCCUACGGGAGGCAGCAGUGGGGAAUAUUGGACAAUGGGCGAAAGCCUGAUCCAGCCAUGCCGCGUGUGUGAAGAAGGUCUUCGGAUUGUAAAGCACUUUAAGUUGGGAGGAAGGGUUGUAGAUUAAUACACUGCAAUUUUGACGUUACCGACAGAAUAAGCACCGGCUAACUCUGUGCCAGCAGCCGCGGUAAUACAGAGGGUGCAAGCGUUAAUCGGAAUUACUGGGCGUAAAGCGCGCGUAGGUGGUUUGUUAAGUUGGAUGUGAAAUCCCCGGGCUCAACCUGGGAACUGCAUUCAAAACUGACUGACUAGAGUAUGGUAGAGGGUGGUGGAAUUUCCUGUGUAGCGGUGAAAUGCGUAGAUAUAGGAAGGAACACCAGUGGCGAAGGCGACCACCUGGACUAAUACUGACACUGAGGUGCGAAAGCGUGGGGAGCAAACAGGAUUAGAUACCCUGGUAGUCCACGCCGUANACGAUGUCAACUAGCCGUUGGANGCCUUGAGCUUUUAGUGGCGCAGCUAACGCAUUAAGUUGACCGCCUGGGGAGUACGGCCGCAAGGGUAAAACUCAAAUGAAUUGACGGGGGC
RNAcentral lists this ribosomal RNA (862 nucleotides) under uncultured bacterium. RNAcentral's name for it is "bacterial SSU rRNA". It matches the Rfam family "Bacterial small subunit ribosomal RNA", at positions 62 to 920 of the family's 1533-position model. The record is from RNAcentral.